GCUGCGUACAUCCCACACAAGGACUUCAAAUGAUCCAGAAUAGAAGAUGCUUUUAUUGAGACCUGUAAGGUCUACAAUGAAUGAAUUGAUAUGAAUAACAAUUUAUGUGAGGGGCAUGUGUUUUGACCAGUCCUGGUUGUGUUGUUUUAUUCAGUACUAAUAUUGUACCACAUUUGAUGGCAAGGAAAUUAAAAUUUUUUAUGGUGUGCAUAUUUGUGUCAGGAUGUGAAAGCAAAUAAAAGAAAAAUAAGGCGAAAUUAUAUUUUAAUGAGUCGGAAAAAUUGUGGUUGAA
Molecule: unclassified non-coding RNA, 292 nt
Filed under: Hevea brasiliensis (rubber tree)
Lineage: Eukaryota; Viridiplantae; Streptophyta; Magnoliopsida; Malpighiales; Euphorbiaceae
Source: RNAcentral